Small nucleolar RNA from Brienomyrus brachyistius, 201 nucleotides. RefSeq annotates it as small nucleolar RNA SNORD97. NCBI's taxonomy places the organism in Eukaryota, Metazoa, Chordata, Actinopteri, Osteoglossiformes, Mormyridae. The transcript has a single exon. The record is from RefSeq and is a predicted model, not a curated record.
ACGCCCACUGAUUAUAAAAAGACGCGUUAUUCUGAGGGAGAACCUGCUGACGGUUCCUCUUGCCCUCGAACUUUGCUCAUCCCCCUCUGCUCUUCUCAUCCUCUUCCCCUGUCUACUCCCCCCCCCCCCCCAAUCUUUUCUUCCCUCACUUCUUGAACUGGUCAGCAGUCCGGUGAACGUGAUUAUGAGAUAUGAGGGUGU